CUGGCGGAAUGCUUUACACAUGCAAGUCGAACGGCAGCACGGGAGCUUGCUUCUGGUGGCGAGUGGCGAACGGGUGAGUAAUGUAUCGGAACGUACCCAGUCGUGGGGGAUAACUCUCCGAAAGGAGAGCUAAUACCGCAUACGUCCUGAGGGGGAAAGCGGGGGACCUAAGGGUAACUGAGGGCCUCGCGCGAUUGGAGCGGCCGAUAUCGGAUUAGCUAGUUGGUGGGGUAAAGGCUCACCAAGGCGACGAUCCGUAGCGGGUCUGAGAGGACGACCCGCCACACUGGAACUGAGACACGGUCCAGACUCCCUACGGGAGGCAGCAGUGGGGAAUUUUGGACAAUGGGGGCAACCCCUGAUCCAGCCAUUCCCGCGUGAAUUGAAGAAGGCCUUCCGGUUUGUAAAGCUCCUU
Molecule: ribosomal RNA, 415 nt
Filed under: uncultured bacterium
Lineage: Bacteria
Description: bacterial SSU rRNA
Rfam family: Bacterial small subunit ribosomal RNA
Source: RNAcentral